RNAcentral lists this ribosomal RNA (323 nucleotides) under uncultured Planctomycetota bacterium. RNAcentral's name for it is "bacterial SSU rRNA". It matches the Rfam family "Bacterial small subunit ribosomal RNA", at positions 28 to 351 of the family's 1533-position model. The record is from RNAcentral. Lineage: Bacteria; Pseudomonadati; Planctomycetota.
AAUGAACGUUGGCGGCGUGGAUUAGGCAUGCAAGUCGAGCGAGAACCCCGCAAGGGGGGACAGCGGCAAACGGGGUAGGAAUGCGUAGGCGACGUACCCUGAGGACCGGGAUAGCCACGGGAAACUGUGGGUAAUACCGGAUGAUCUCUUCCGGCAUGAGGGCCGGGAGAGCAAAUGGUGAGAUUCCGCCUUGGGAGCGGCUUACGUGGUAUCAGGUAGUUGGUGAGGUAACGGCUCACCAAGCCGAAGACGCCUGGGGGGUGUGAGAGCAUCGGCCCCCACCACUGGGACUGAGACACUGCCCAGACACCUACGGGUGGCUG